GCGGGUGUAGCUCAACGGUAGAGCAGAUCAUCGUCUCGCGUCCCUCGCCCGUCGCGAGGCGGGCCGCUGCUGGAUGGUUAUUGACUCUUAAUCAAUCAGAUGCCGGUUCGAGUCCGGCCACCUGCA
This 126-nucleotide transfer RNA is filed under the name Myxococcales bacterium. RNAcentral describes it as "tRNA-Lys". It matches the Rfam family "tRNA". Rfam says of the family: Transfer RNA (tRNA) molecules are approximately 80 nucleotides in length. Lineage: Bacteria; Pseudomonadati; Myxococcota; Myxococcia; Myxococcales. The record is from RNAcentral.